CAUUUAGCGUCACUAUGAAAAAGCACCUUGAUUAAAAUGAAUGAAAAUUACUAGUUAACAUUACAGAUUGCAUAGAACAUCGAUUGUGAGAUUUUUACAUUGUCAGCAGAAUUGACAUCUGGAGAUAUAGAGAUAUAUGGCGCUUUUUGCUUCAACCUCGAAACAGCAAACCGAUGAAAUAUCACAAUAUAUUACAAAAUUGGAAAAUGGUCAUCUGUACACCGUGGGAACUCCGGAAGGACAAAUUGGACAUCAGUUGAUUCGUCUAGAUGUAGAUCGUAAACAGCAAAUGGUGAAUCGGCUUUUGGAUUGUGUAGCCGACAAUUUGAAGAAAGUACCAUCAGUAAUGAAAGAAAGAAAAAACGUUUAUUAAAAAAUAUAGGAGAGAGGAAAAGACGUUCUGCAUAUGAUAUUCACACGUUAUAUUUUUACACAUAUUUUAUUUACUUACACAUAUCCUAUUUUAUCACAUAUUAUAUCACUAUCUCACUUUUACUUGCAAUUGUUCCUUGAACUGAGAGAGCGAAACACAUAUCCUCAGCGGGACAUGAUAAAAGAGACGCACUGCACGAUUAUCUCAUUAGUUUGGUUUAAUCGUUUGUGGCGAUAUCUCGACGUUCAUCGUUAUGGUGCCAACAUCCGUUGGUUUGCAAGGAUUUGUCGUGAAUAAGCGAUUUAUUGUCAAAGAGGUAGCAGUUUUAAAGAAUGGGAGCGAGUUGACACACUAUAUUUUUAUAUGCCCGAUGCCAUAGCGUUUUCUGACGAAAGCUGAUCAAUCGCACACCUCAUGAUUGAUGACACAUCAUUAAGGAUUGCGGUGGAAUGAUGGGAUGAUACCAUAUCGUACGGCGCAGCGUCUGAUUUCAGAAGUUGUUCAGUGGAGAAAGUGAGGCAAUUGUUUAUGUGAAGGGACUUGAAAAACGGGGGUGGUUACUGGACAUUUUGAACAAUGACGACGUUAUAGUUGAAACGAUCAAUGUGCAUUACGACGAGAUUGAAUCGCUUGAAAAUUUAGACGCUACUAAUACGUUUCAGUGUGGAAGACACAGUAAAUGUUGCACGUUACAGAAUGUAUUAAAAUUAUUUAAUCAGUG
This is a long non-coding RNA of Acromyrmex echinatior (Panamanian leafcutter ant), 1094 nucleotides long. RefSeq lists it as uncharacterized. The record is from RefSeq and is a predicted model, not a curated record. NCBI's taxonomy places the organism in Eukaryota, Metazoa, Arthropoda, Insecta, Hymenoptera, Formicidae.